AGCUCCAAUAGCGUAUAUUCAAGUUGUUGCAGUUAAAAAGCUCGUAGUUGAAUUUUGGAUCUGGUUAGGUGGUUUAGCCGCAAGGUUAACACUGCUUUGACUGGUUCUUUCCUUGUAGGGAAUUAACGUAUUCUUAACUGAGUGCGUUAAGGAUCUACAACUGUUACUUUGAAAAAAUUAGAGUGUUUAAAACAGGCUUAUGCUUGAAUACUACAGCAUGGAAUAACGGAAUAGGACUUUGUUUCUAUUUUGUUGGUUUGAGAAACGAAGUAAUGAUUAAUAGGGAUAGUUGGGGGCAUUAGUAUUCCAUUGUCAGAGGUGAAAUUCUUGGAUUUAUGAAAGACUAACUUCUGCGAAAGCAUUUGCCAAGGAUGUUUUCA
This 380-nucleotide ribosomal RNA is filed under the name uncultured eukaryote. RNAcentral describes it as "SSU rRNA". It matches the Rfam family "Eukaryotic small subunit ribosomal RNA", at positions 587 to 972 of the family's 1831-position model. The record is from RNAcentral.